GCCAUGCGGCGUGCUAAUACAUGCAGUCGAGCGCAGGAAAUAAACAGAACCCUUCGGGGUGAUGUUUAUGGAAUGAGCGGCGGACGGGUGAGUAACACGUGGGCAACCUGCCUGUAAGAUCGGGAUAACUCGCGGAAACGUGAGCUAAUACCGGAUAACACUUUUCAUCUCAUGGUGAGAAGAUAAAAGACGGUUUCGGCUGUCACUUACAGAUGGGCCCGCGGCGCAUUAGCUAGUUGGUGAGGUAACGGCUCACCAAGGCGACGAUGCGUAGCCGACCUGAGAGGGUGAUCGGCCACACUGGGACUGAGACACGGCCCAGACUCCUACGGGAGGCAGCAGUAGGGAAUCUUCCGCAAUGGACGAAAGUCUGACGGAGCAACGCCGCGUGAGUGAUGAAGGUUUUCGGAUCGUAAAACUCUGUUGUUAGGGAAGAACAAGUUGGGUAGUAACUGACCCGACCUUGACGGUACCUAACCAGAAAGCCACGGCUAACUACGUGCCAGCAGCCGCGGUAAUACGUAGGUGGCAAGCGUUGUCCGGAAUUAUUGGGCGUAAAGCGCUCGCAGGCGGUCUUUUAAGUCUGAUGUGAAAGCCCACGGCUUAACCGUGGAGGGUCAUUGGAAACUGGAGGACUUGAGUACAGAAGAGGAGAGUGGAAUUCCACGUGUAGCGGUGAAAUGCGUAGAGAUGUGGAGGAACACCAGUGGCGAAGGCGACUCUCUGGUCUGUAACUGACGCUGAGGAGCGAAAGCGUGGGUAGCGAACAGGAUUAGAUACCCUGGUAGUCCACGCCGUAAACGAUGAGUGCUAUGUGUUAGGGGGUUUCCGCCCCUUAGUGCUGAAGUUAACGCAUUAAGCACUCCGCCUGGGGAGUACGGCCUGCCACGCUGAAACUCAAAAGAAUUGACAGGGGCCCGCACAAUCUGUGGAGCAUGUGGUUUAAUUCGAAGCAACGCGCAGAACCUUACCAGGUCUUGACAUCUCUGAUACCUCUAGC
RNAcentral lists this ribosomal RNA (1000 nucleotides) under Oceanobacillus profundus. RNAcentral's name for it is "bacterial SSU rRNA". It matches the Rfam family "Bacterial small subunit ribosomal RNA", at positions 35 to 1003 of the family's 1533-position model. Lineage: Bacteria; Bacillati; Bacillota; Bacilli; Caryophanales; Bacillaceae. The record is from RNAcentral.